AUACGAAGGGUGCAAGCGUUACUCGGAAUUAUUGGGCGUAAAGAGUGCGUAGGUGGUUACCUAAGCAGGGGGUGAAAGGCACUGGCUUAACCAAUGUCAGCCCCCUGAACUGGGCUACUUGAGUGCAGGAGAGGAAAGUGGAAUUCCUAGUGUAGCGGUGAAAUGCGUAGAUAUUAGGAGGAACACCAGUGGCGAAGGCGUCUUUCUGGACUGUUACUGACACUGAGGCACGAAAGUGUGGGGAGCAAACAGGAUUAGAUACCCUGGUAGUCCACACCGUAAACGAUGAGCACUAGGUGUCGGGGGAGCAAUCCUUCGGUGCCGCAGUUAACGCAUUAAGUGCUCCGCCUGGGGAGUACGUACGCAAGUAUGAAACUCAAAUGAAUUGACGGGG
This 394-nucleotide ribosomal RNA is filed under the name uncultured bacterium. RNAcentral describes it as "partial 16S ribosomal RNA". It matches the Rfam family "Bacterial small subunit ribosomal RNA", at positions 523 to 918 of the family's 1533-position model. The record is from RNAcentral.